GCCUACGGGGGGCAGCAGUGGGAAUAUUGCUCAAUGGGGGAAACCCUGAAGCAGCAACGCCGCGUGGAGGAUGAAGGUUUUCGGAUUGUAAACUCCUUUUGUUAGAGAAGAUAAUGACGGUAUCUAACGAAUAAGCACCGGCUAACUCCGUGCCAGCAGCCGCGGUAAUACGGAGGGUGCAAGCGUUACUCGGAAUCACUGGGCGUAAAGAGCGCGUAGGCGGGAUAGCAAGUCAGAUGUGAAAUCCUAUGGCUUAACCAUAGAACUGCAUUUGAAACUGUUAUUCUAGAGUAUGGGAGAGGUAG
RNAcentral lists this ribosomal RNA (305 nucleotides) under uncultured bacterium. RNAcentral's name for it is "bacterial SSU rRNA". It matches the Rfam family "Bacterial small subunit ribosomal RNA", at positions 337 to 660 of the family's 1533-position model. The record is from RNAcentral.